GCCGCUGUAGCUCAGGUAGUAGAGCAACGAAUUCGUAAUUCGUGGGUCGGAUGUGCAAGUCAUCCCAGCGGCU
This 73-nucleotide transfer RNA is filed under the name Candidatus Nomurabacteria bacterium CG1_02_31_12. RNAcentral describes it as "tRNA-Thr". It matches the Rfam family "tRNA". From Rfam's summary of the family: Transfer RNA (tRNA) molecules are approximately 80 nucleotides in length. RNAcentral also lists the same sequence under 3 other names. Lineage: Bacteria; Candidatus Nomuraibacteriota. The record is from RNAcentral.